Molecule: ribosomal RNA, 293 nt
Filed under: uncultured bacterium
Lineage: Bacteria
Description: partial 16S ribosomal RNA
Rfam family: Bacterial small subunit ribosomal RNA
Source: RNAcentral
GUGACAGCCGCCGCGGUAAUACGGGGGGAGCAAGCGUUGUUCGGAUUUACUGGGCGUAAAGGGCGGGUAGGCGGCCACUGUAAGUCGGUUGUGAAAUCUCCGGGCUUAACCCGGAAAGGUCAGCCGAUACUGCAGGGCUAGAGUGCAGAAGGGGCAACUGGAAUUCUCGGUGUAGCGGUGAAAUGCGUAGAUAUCGAGAGGAACACCUGCGGCGAAGGCGGGUUGCUGGGCUGACACUGACGCUGAACUGCGAAAGCUAGGGGGGCGAACGGGAUUAGAAACCCGGGUAGUCC